CAUUACACANAUAUGNAGCCGGACUGGGAUAGGGCCUCGCUGCCUUGCCCGUCUGGCGCCAUAUUCACCCAUGUCUUUUUGCGUACUACUUGUUUCCUUGGCGGGUCCGCCCGCCAAUUGGACCUUAUUCAAACCUUUUUUUCAGUUGCAAUCAGCGUCAGCAAAACAAAUGUAAUCAAUUACAACUUUCAACAACGGAUCUCUUGGUUCUGGCAUCGAUGAAGAACGCAGCGAAAUGCGAUAAGUAGUGUGAAUUGCAGAAUUCAGUGAAUCAUCGAAUCUUUGAACGCACAUUGCGCCCUUUGGUAUUCCAAAGGGCAUGCCUGUUCGAGCGUCAUUUGUACCCUCAAGCUUUGCUUGGUGUUGGGCGUCUUGUCUCUCUCCCGAGACUCGCCUUAAAAUCAUUGGCAGCCGGCCUACUGGUUUCGGAGCGCAGCACAUUAUUUGCGCUCUUGUCCAGCCGCGGUCGCGCGUCCAUGAAGCUUCUUUCAACCUUUUGACCUCGGAUCAGGUAGGGAUACCCGCUGAACUUAAGCAUNAUCAAUAAAACG
RNAcentral lists this ribosomal RNA (551 nucleotides) under Pyrenophora tritici-repentis. Its description in RNAcentral is "eukaryotic LSU rRNA". The stretch from base 184 to 337 matches the Rfam family "5.8S ribosomal RNA". The record is from RNAcentral. Lineage: Eukaryota; Fungi; Ascomycota; Dothideomycetes; Pleosporales; Pleosporaceae.